UUUCUUUCUUUCUUUUUUUUUUUUUUUGAGACAGAGUCUCACUGUGUUGAUCAGGCUGGAGUGCAGUGGUGCAAUCUCGGCUCACUGCAACCUUCACCUCCCAGGUUCAAGCGAUUCUCCUGCCUCAGCCUCCUAAGUAGCUGGGAUUACAGGCACAUGUACCACAUUCAGCUAAUUUUUGUAAUUUUAGUAGAGACAGGUUUUCACCAUGUUGGCCAGGCUGGUCUCCAACUCCUGACCUCAAGGAAUCCACCUACCUUGGCUUCCCAAAGUGUUGGGAUUACAGGCGUGAGCCACCGUGCCUGGCCUUUACCCUACUUUCUUUUUAUUUUAUUUUUAUUUAAAAAAAAUUUUUUUAAGAGACGGGGUCUUGCUCUGUUGCCCAGGCUGGAGUGCAGUGGCUAUUCACAGGCGCGAUCCCACGACUGAUCAGCAUGGGAGUUUUGACCUGCUCCAUUUCCGACCUGGGCCUGUUCACCCCUCCUUAGGCAACCUGGUGGUCCCCUGCUCCCGGGAGGUCACCAUAUUGAUGCUGAACUUAGAGCAGACACCUUAUCGGCAUAGCACACUACAGCCCAGAACUCCUGGGCUCAAGCAAUCCUCCCACCUCAGCCUCCCGAGUAGCUGGGACUACAGGCACAUGCCACCGCGCCCGGCUACCUCACUUUCUUUAAGCAAAUGAUAUAAACCACAUGGAGAAUACUUUCCUUCUGUGGCUGAGAAUCAGGCUUGAAUUCAUCUGUCACAGGUGGCUGGCCUUGCUUCCUUUCCCAUCUCCACAGCCACUGGCAUUGGCACAGCUCCCUAGCUCGUAGGCAUUGACCCUGAAGGGAGAAAAUGACUGGUAUUAAUGUUAAGUGGCUGGUAGUAUUUGGUUUUCUUCCAAACCCCAUGUUGGGCAACUUAAAGGAAGUCAUCUCUUCUAAAUAAAAUAUUCAGUCCUAUUGGACCUAUCCUUCCUAGAAAAUGUCUAAUUACAGCAGAGGAAAGGAAGUUGCAUUUAGCGAGCACCUCUGUGCCAGGCACCACCUUUCACACAGGAUCUCAAUCUUCAUCACUACUAUGAGAAGCAUAUAUCAUGAGACUUAUUUUAUACAUGAGGCCACUGAGGUUAGAAAAGUCAAACAAGACUAGGCGUGGUGGCUCACGCCUGUAAUCCCAGCACUUUAGGAGGCCAAAGCAGGUGGAUCACGAGGCCAGGAGUUCCAGACCAGCCUGGCCAACAUAGUGAAACCCUGUCUAUACUAAAAAUACAAAAAUUAGCUGGGUGUGGUGGCACAUGCCUGUAGUCCCAGUGACUUGGGAGGUUGAGGCGGAGAAUUGCUUUAACCUGGGAGGUGGAGGUUGCAGUGAGCUGAGACCACACUACUGCACUCCAGCCUGGGUAACUGAGUGAGACUCUGUCUCAAAAAGAAAAAAAAAAAAGAGGUAGAGUCAAACAAUUUUCCCAAACCACUCAGCUAGUGAGUGUCAGCGGCAGAUCUAUCCCAAUGCCAAAGUCUAUGCUUUUCUCAUUAUGCCAAGCUGCCUCUGUAACAAAAGAAAGUCUUUAUAGAUCAAGUCCAAUGAUUUAAUACAUCAGGAAACUUACAGGGCAUGGGACUUCAAAAAUUAUAAAUACUAUAAUGGCGAUUCCACUGAUCAACAGGGUGACAGCAAUCAGAAUUUUGACCACAAUACUCCAUUUCUUUCUCUUCUCUAGGUUCUCAUCUGUGUCUAGGAGAGAGGGGAGUGGAAGAGGGAGAGAAGAGAAUUUGAGAGAGGGAAGAGAUUGACCCUUUGACUUGAAGUUCUUCUGGCUCACAAGAAUAAUACAGGCCCAGCCUGACCCAGAGGCAGAGGCUGAAUUUCCAAUUCAAACUCAGGGUUGGAGGGGAUAGGAGUGAGCUGAGCAUCAUGGACUCUGCUCUAACCUCUUUUGCAGCCUCUUCCCAAUAAGUCACCUUCCCUGGAAUUGGAGAUUUUCCAUAAUCACAUAGGGCUGAUUCUUACAUUGUUCUCAGGAAGAAAAACCUUGGGUACACAAGGAGUUCUAAACGUCUUUCACUGUCAGCUUUAUCAGGGUUCCUACCAUUUUGCUCUGACACAUUUUAUGGGAUUAGAAAAUCACCUUUCCUGUGUUUCCCUUGGCUUUUAUGGGGUAUAAGAGGAAGAAAUGUAAAUUGGCACUGCUUCUGGGUCAGAAGCUCAAUGUGGCAGCAAAUGGCUAAUAGGCAUUUUUUUUUCUUACUCUGUCACUCAGGCUGGCAUGCAGUGGCACCACCUUGGCUCACUGCAGCCUCAAUCUCCCAGGCUCAAAUCAUCCUCCCACCUCAGCCUGCUGAGUAGCUGGUACCACAGGUGCAUGCCACUAUGCCCAGCUAAUUUUGAAAAUUUUUGUACAGAGUCUCAUUAUAUUUCCCACUGAGCUUGAACUCCUGGCCUCAAGUGAUCCUACAGCCUUGGCCUCUCAAAGUGCUGGAAUUACAGGUGUGAGCCACCUCACCCAGCCCUUAUAUGCAUCUUGUUAUUACUAAUAUCAUAUUUUUUUCCUCUGGUAGAAACUAGGAUGUAACCCAAAUUGGAAUCUUAUAGAAUUUGAGUCUUGGCCAAUUUAAGGAGGGCUGUUGCUAAAAAAAAACAAACAAUGAAGCAGGCUUUGUGCGGUGGCUCAUGCCUGUAAUCCCAGCACUUUGGGAGGCUGAGGUGGGCAGAUCACUGGAGGUCAGGAGUCUUAGAACAGACUGGCCAACAUGGUGAAACCCGUCUCUACUAAAAAUACAAAAAUUGGGCCGGCUUUAGCUCAGUGGUUACUUCGACAAUGCUUUCUAUGGUGGAAACACAAAAAUUAGCCAGGCCUGGUAGUGCAUGAGAAUCUCUUUGCAUAGUUUGCAAGUUUAAAAAAGAAAAAGAAAAAAGAAAAAAAACAGUGAGGAUGAAAAUAUUCUCUUGGGGCUGGCCAUGGUUGGUAGGUAAUGUCUGUAAUCCCAGCACUUUGGGAGGCUGAGGUGGGAGGAUCACCUGAGCCAAGGAGUCUAAGACCAGCUUGGACAAUAUGGCAAGACCCUGUCUCUAAAACAGUUUGAAAAUUAGCCAAACACAGUGGCACGCACCUGUAGUUCCAGCUACUCAGGAGGUUGAGGUGGGAGAUUCACUUGAGCCCCAGAGGUCGAGGCUGCAGUGAGCCGUGUACUGCACUCUAGUCUGUGUAACACAGCAAGACCUUUUCUCACAAAAAGAGAGAGAGAAGGAAAGAAAGGAAGAGAGAGAGAGAAAAGAAAGAAGGAAGGAAGGAAAGAAAAAGAGCAAAGCACUUGGUUGGUGUCAUCACUCUUAUAAUUGUUUAGCAUUUAAAUAUAGUCCAUCUAUAUAGACAGUGGCUAGAAUUACCUACUACAGGAAUACUGUUUUUUCUGUCCCUAAUUCUGGCUACAGGGUGAGCUCAUCUGCGUGGAGAUAAAUGAUCAUUGAUAGUGUCAAAUUACAAACAUUUCUGGGACCUUCUUUAUAGAGAAGCUAUUUUUUUCUUUCUUUUCUUUUAUUUUAAGUCGAGGUUUCACCAUGUUGGUCAGGCUGGUCUUGAACUCAUGACCUCAGGUGAUCCACCCGCCUUGGCCUCCAAACUGCUUGGAUUACAGGCGUGAGCCACCAUGCCCGGACAAUUUUUUUUUUUUUAAGAUGGGGUUUCACCAUGAUGGCCAGGGUGGUCUUGAACUCCUGACCUCAGGUGAUCCACCCACCUCAGCCUCCCAAAGUGCUAGGAUUACAGGCGUGAGCCACCAUGCCCAGCGAGAAGCUGUAUUUUUCUAUAAGAAAUGGAAUGAUUUUUCAAUGUACAUUCAGUAACUUCUCAACCUUAAGAAAAAUGUCAGUAGACUCAGACUAACGUUGGAGCUAAAAAUGUUUCUUUUUCUGUUCUUGUUUUACUUCUACUUAUUUUGUACUUUGUCAUUCAAAGCUAGAAAAAUUACCAGUACUUGUAGUUUUCUCUCCUUCUUUAUUCCCAGAAGUUAUGGAAGGGGUAGUGGUAGAAAAAGUCUCUGAUGAAGCCCUCAUCACUGGAUAGACUUUACAUUGCGAGAUCCCUGGUAAAAAAGCUACAAAACAAAAUAGAAAAGAUGAAAUGACAAUUUUAGGAGAAAACUUUAUCCUGCAUUUGAUUUUACCUGAUCAAACCCUACCCAGCUGAUAGUAAACUUCUAAUUGUGGUCCUAUUAACCUGUCUGUCCAUAGGUUUAGGGUGUGGGCACAAUAUUAUGCCAAGAGUAAAUGAGGAUAGAGAUACUAAUAAGAGAUAUGGAUUAAAUCCCCGUAAGACUUGUGACUAUCAUAGGAUCAGAGUGAAGGAGUGGACCAUAUCUUGUUUGCCUAUCAUUCUUUAGGUCAUAAUAAUAAUAAAGAUGGAGGGCGGAAAAACUAUUGAAAGUUUCCUUCUUUAAAAAGCGAUGGCUCCAAAGUCCAAGGAAGAACGUGAAAUAUCACAAUUAACCUUCAUGACUUCUGCAAGUGUGUCUAGUAGAAUCUAAGUCAACUACUCUGAGAGGGGAUUGGGGAAAGCAGGAGGAGCUGGAAGAAGGAAAACCACCCAGCUUCAUGCACUCCUUGAUUGCAUUCAUUCAGCAUUUUUUUUUUUUAAGACAGGGUCUCCUUCUGUCAGCCAGGUUGGAGUGCAGUGGCAUGAUCUUGGCUCACUGCAACCUCCGCCUCCGGGGUUCAAGUGAUUCUCAUGCCUGAGCCUCCCACGUAAGUGGGAAUACAGGUGCACUCCACCACGCCCGGCUAAUUUUUGUAUUUUUUGGUAGAGAUGAGGUUUCACCAUGUUGGCCAGGUUUUCUCAAACUCCUGACCUCAAGUGAUCCACCCACCUCGGCCUCCCAAAGUGCUGGGAUUACAGGUGUGAGCCACUGUGCCUGGCCUGGCUUUACUUUCAAAAGAUCUCCGGGGCUACUGUAUUGGGAAUGGGCUAGGGGUGGGCAAGGGUAGAAGUAGGGUAACCUGUUAGGAGGCUGUUGCAAAAGUCCAGUAGAUGAUGUGAUUCACACCAGCAGUGGAAAUGAUGGGAGGUUGAAGGAGUCUAGCUGGACUCUGGAAAUAACCUUACUUGUCUCCAGAAUUGACCUAAUCCAAUUCAGAUAGUGUGGUUCCUGUUCCAUUUUUAGUAGUCUCAUGUCAUUACUUAUUAAAUUAAGGUCUGUAAGUUCUACUUGACUUUGCUAAAUUACUCUUCCAUGUCUUAAGUCCAUGGGAAAAUGAUAGUUCUUUAGCUCAGAGGCCAGUGGCCAUAAUAGACACUGUACAUGAAAUUAUAGGGGAAGAAGUAAUCCCUGAUUCCAGUUUAAUCAGGAAGACAGUGUCAGCAGAGAUUGGCAGAGACAGACAUAAAGUCAAUGUAUUCAAAAGGAAAAACAAGAACAUGUUUAGCAUAGUGCUAGUCAGUUAUUUGAAGUGAUAAUUUAUCUAUUUUAGCUAAAAAUAAACAAAUAUCGGAUGCUAGCCAGACAAAGUCUCCAGUGGCAUAGCGCGCAGCGCUCACUCGACUUGUCUCAGAGCCCCGAAGUCUGCCCAAAUUUUGAGUGUGGCCAUGAAUGAGGUUGUAUAAGAGUAAGAUUGACAGUAGUUUUGAUUGUGAUUGUGGUGAGCUGGAGCCACCUGAUCACUAACAGAAGACAUUUGUUAACCGCCAGCCACCAGGGCUUCCUGUUGAAAUAUAUAGCAACAACGGAAGAAAAGAAGCAAAACAGAAAUAGUGCUUACCACCGCCUUAGAACGAUGCUGCUCAGGACCAGUCCAACACUGAUUGUAUCUGCACUAUGAGGAGAAUGUUCAUAGAAGCCUAUUGUGUGCAUAUUUAUUCACAUUUUUGUUAAAUGUUAAAUUGUUUAGCACAGUAAUCUGAGUGCAUAGUAUGUCAUUUCAUUCCAUUUGAGUUUCUUGAGUGUUUUCUUUAAAUGUCUGCUGAGUUGCUGCCCCUUUCUUGAACCAUGAGAACUGCAGUCUUUUUUUUUUUUUUUUGAGACGGAGUUUCGCUCUUAUUACUCAGGCUAGAGUGCAAUGGCGCAAUCUCGGUUCACCACAACCUCCGCCUCCUGGGUUCAAGCAAUUCUCCUGCCUCAGCCUCCCGAGUAGCUGGGACUACAGGUGCACGCCACCAUGCCCAGCUAAUUUUUGUCUUAUUAGUAGAGACAGGGUUUCAUCUUGUUGACCAGGAUGGUCUCGAUCUCUUGACCUCGUGAUCCACCCGUCUCGGCCUCCCAAAGUGCUGGGAUUAUAGGCAUGAGCCACGGCGCCCGGCCCUGCAAUCUUUUUAAUUCUCAAUAUGAGUAGAGCUUUUUGAGCUUUAAAUCUAAGGGGAACUCAAAAGGCCUGUUUGGCAUAUGCAAUGAACAUCAAGAAACCAUCUUUCUGUGGAAGCAUAAUUAUUUUUCUUCUCCUUUUUGAAAGAUCUUUCCUUUUGAUGCCAGUUUUCUUCCUUGUUUUCACAAGUUCAGCAAUUCAAAAGAAAAAGGCGAUAGUAAGGGUUUCAAACUGGCAGAGAAAUUUGGAAGUCUCAUGAACAAUUUAUGGUUUUGAUCUGGGUUCUAGGUAUAUGGACUUAAAACCAUUGAGUUGUGGAGGCAAUGGCUUGGUUUUUUCUGCUGUAGACAAUUACUGUGACAAAAGAGUAGCCAUGUAGAAAAUUGUACUUACCGAUCCCCAGAGUGGCAAACAUGAUGUACAUGAAAUCAAAAUUAUUAGAAGACUUGAUCAUGAUAACAUUGUGAAAGUGUCUGAAAUUCUUGGUCCCAGUGGAAGCCAAUUAACAGACGAUGUGGGCUCUCUUACAGAGCUGAACAGUGUUUACAUUGUUCAGGAGUACAUGGAGACAGACUUGGCUAAUGUGCUGGAGCAGGGCUCUUUACUGGAAGAGCAUGCCCGGCUUUUCAUGUAUCAGCUGCUAUGGGGGCUCAAGUAUAUUCACUCUGCAAAUGUACUGCACAGAGAUCUCAGAUCUUUUCAUUAAUACUGAAGACUUGGUGCUGUAGAUAGGUGACUUUGGUCUUGCACAGAUCAUAGAUCCUCAUUAUUCCCAUAAGGGUCAUCUUUCUGAAGGAUUGGUUACUAAAUGCUACAGAUCAUCACAUCUUUUACUUUCUCCUAAUAAUUACAUGAAAGCCAUGACAUGUGGGCAGUAGGCUGCAUCUUUGCUGAAAUGCUGACUGGUAAAACCCUUUUUGCAGAUGCAAAUGAACUUGAACAGAUGCAGCUGAUUUUAGAAUCUAUUUCUGUUGUACAUGAGGAAGAUCGUCAGGAGCUUCUCAGCGUAAUUCCAGUUUACAUUAGAAAUGACAUGACUGAAUCACACAAACCUUUAACUCAGCUGCUUCCAGGAAUUAGUAGAGAAGCACUGGAUUUCCUGGAACAAAUUUUGACAUUUAGCCCCAAGGAUCAGUUAACAGCAGAAGCAGCGCUCUCCCAUCCUUCAUGAGCAUAUAUUCUUUUCCAAUGAAUGAGCCAAUUUCAAGCCAUCCUUUUCAUAUUGAAGAUGAAGUUGAUGAUAUUUUGCUUAUGGAUGAAACUCACAGUCACAUUAAUAACUGGGAAAGGUACCAUGAUUGUCAGUUUUCAGGGCAUGAUUGGCCUAUACAUAACAACUUUGAUAUUGAUGAAGUUGAGCUUGAUCCAAGAGCUCUGUCUGAUGUCACUGAUGAAGAGGAAGUACAAGUUGAUCCCCGAAAAUAUUUGGAUGGAGAUGGGGAAAAGUAUCUGGAAGAUCCUGCUUUUGAUACCAGUUACUCUACUAAGCCUUGUUGGCAGUACCCAGAUCAUCAUUAAAACAAAUACUGUGAUCUGGAGUGUAGCCAUACUUGUAACUACAAAACUAUGUCAUCAUCAUAUUUAGAUACUUUUGUUUGCAGAGAGAGUGAAGUUAACCAUUACUAUGAGCCCAAGCUUAUUAUAGAUAUUUACAAAUGGAAAGAACAAAGCAAAGAAAAAUCUGAUAAGAAAGGCAAAUCAAAAUGUGAAAGGAAUGGAUUGGUUAAAGCCCAGAUAGCACUGGAGGAAGCAUCACAGCAACUGGCCAGAAAAGGGAAAAGAAUCAGGGAUUUGAUUUUGAUUCCUUUAUUGCAGGAACUAUUCAACUUAGUUCCCAACAUGAGCCUACUGAUGUUGUUGAUAAAUUAAAUGACUUGAAUAGCUCAGUGUCCCAACUAGAGUUGAAAAGUUUGAUAUCAAAGUCAGUAAGCCAAGAAAAACAGGAAAAAGGAAUGGCAAAUUUGGCUCAAUUGGAAGACUUAUACCAAUCUUCUUGGGACAGUUUGUGAGUGGUGGGGAGGACUAUGAGAAGGAAAACACUUACACUAGUUACCUGGACAAGUUCUUUAGUAUGAAAGAAGAUACUGAAAUGCUAGAAAUGGAGCCCAUAGAGGAUGGGAAGCUUGGGGAGAGAAGAAAUGAGGAAGGAUUUCUGAACAACAGUGGGGAGUUCCUCUUUAACAAGCAGCUCGAGUCCAUAGGCAUCCCGCAGUUUCACAGUCUAGUUGGGUCACCACUCAAGUCAAUACAGGCCACCUUAACAUCUUCUGCUAUGAAAUCUUCCCCUCAAAUUCCUCACAAAACAUACAGCAGCAUUCUGAAACAUCUGAACUAAAACACUCAGCAGACAUUUAUCUUUGUAUUCUUCAUGAAAUGUGUGUUUUGUCUUUUUUUAUUACUAGUGUAGAAGUCAUUUUUUACUUGAAUCAGAUGGUGCCAUUUAGUAAGGAUUUUAUUAGUUCUUGGUUUUUAAAAUCCAGAUCUUCUUUUCCUACUUGUGAGAUAGUUUUCAUUUUAACUGGCAUGUCAUUUGCACACAAAAAUAAAGACUAAAGCAAAAUAAUGCAACGCAGGAGGAAACAAAAGCAAUGCGCUAAGACAAGUAAAGAACAUUCUCUCAUAGAACAAUGAUCUGUUUUACAGGAAACAAAUCUUGCCUUGAAAUUGACACAGUGAGACUGUACAUAAUUGCAUGAAAAUAUCUGUUUUUUCCGAAGACAUUUUUCAUUCCUGAGUAUUUUCAAGUUUUUCUUUUUUUUCUUUUUUUUUUUUUUGAGAUGGAGUUUUGCUCUUGUUACCCAGGCUGGAGUGCAGUGGUGAGAUUCGGCUCACCACAACCUCCGCCUCCCAGGUUCAGGCAAUUCUCCUGCCUCAGCCUCCUGACUAGCUGGGAUUACAAGCACACGCCACCAUGCCCAGCUAAUUUUUUGUAUUUUUUUAGUAGAGAUGGGGUUUCACCAUGUUGACCAGGAUGGUCUCGAUCUCUUGACCUUGUGAUCCACCUGCCUCGGCCUCCCAAAGUUCUGGGAUUACAGGCUUGAGCCCCGCGCCCGGCCAAGUUUUUCAUACUAUACACAUUUCUUAAAACACAUGAUACCAGCAGAAACUGAAAAUGAAUGCUGAAUUUGGUACCAAAUUCUACCUCAAGGUAACAAAAAUAUUUGGCAAAACAUAUACCAUCCAUAGUGCUUCACAAUAUGCACUUCUAUUUAGCCAGCAUUUAUUGUAGUAAACUAUUCUUUUUUUUUUUUUUGAGACGGAGUCUUGCUCUGUUGCCAGGCUGGAGUGCAGUGACACAGUCUUGGCUCACUGCAACCUCCACCUCCUGGGUUCAAGCAAGUCUUCUGCCUCAGCCUCCCGAGUAGCUGGGACCACAGGUGAGUGCCUCCACGCCCAGCUAAUUUUUGUACUUUUAGUAGAGACGGUGUUUCACCUUGUUGACCAGGAUGGUCUUGAUCUCUUGACCUUGUGAUCGGCCCGCCUUGGCCUCCUAACGUGCUGGGAUUACAGGUGAGCCGCCGCGCCUGGCAGUAAACUAUUCUUAAUAAGACUCAUUCACUGUUUAUAAAUGUUCUGGUAUGCAUUCUUUAUAGUGAAGUGUUAAUACAUCACAUCUUAUUUAUUUUAGCAAAUCAGUAUAUUUUCUGUAUUUAAUUAUAAAAAUUAACUUAGUUUUAAAAAUUUAUUUGCAAAUACACUUUUUCCGUUUGGCACUAUGGUUUGUUGCCUACCUAGCUGAAUAUAUUAUGUCAGCUUAUCCCAAGGCCGUCCACGUACUUAAUUUACUUAAGCGUUCAUUUUAAGUAACGUGCUCAUUGUGUAUAGGAAUUUGUAUUUUGGAGGUGCUUGAUCUAUCUACAAAGAAAAAUUAAUUAGGAAUUACUUUAUUAUAAAAUGCUCCUAGAAGUCUUAAUUGUGUUUAUUUUUUGGCCGGGCGUGGUGGCUCAAGCCUGUAAUCCCAGCACUUUGGGAGGCCGAGAUGGGUGGAUCAUGAGGUCAAGAGAUCGAGACCAUCCUGGUCAACAUGGUGAAACCCCGUCUCUACUAAAAAUAUAAAAAAUUAGCUGGGCAUGGUGGCGCGUGCCUGUAAUCCCAGCUACUCAGGAGGCUGAGGCAGGAGAAUUGCCUGAACCCAGGAGGCGGAGGUUGCAGUGAGCUGAGAUUGCACCAUUGCACUCCAGCCUGGGUAACAAGAGAGAAACUCCAUCUCAAAAAAAAAAAAAUUGUGUUUAUUUUUUAAUAAAAACCAAUGUUAGACUUGUGUGCGUGGAAGUAAUUAAGGUACAUCAUUGUAGUUUUAAAGUUGUACAUGAUGAGACAUUUUGUUUUUACUGUAUGUUUUUACUGAAUGAUCUGUUCCCCAUCCCAAGGCAAGCAUGAAUAAAAUUAGGUUAAAUGUAGCAUGUGGCAUCGCAGUCUCUUAGAAUUUGUUUCAUCUAUUUUAUUUUAUUGAAUACUGUCUGUAUCUUCGGUUAUCUUGUUUGAAGAAAAAGGGCAAAUAAAACAUGGCCAGCAAA
Callithrix jacchus (white-tufted-ear marmoset) is the source of this 10790-nucleotide non-coding RNA. The record is from RefSeq and is a predicted model, not a curated record. NCBI's taxonomy places the organism in Eukaryota, Metazoa, Chordata, Mammalia, Primates, Cebidae.